This 459-nucleotide ribosomal RNA is filed under the name uncultured bacterium. RNAcentral's name for it is "partial 16S ribosomal RNA". It matches the Rfam family "Bacterial small subunit ribosomal RNA", at positions 338 to 795 of the family's 1533-position model. The record is from RNAcentral.
CCUACGGGUGGCAGCAGUGAGGAAUAUUGGUCAAUGGGCGGGAGCCUGAACCAGCCAAGUCGCGUGAGGGACGACGGUCCUAUGGAUUGUAAACCUCUUUUGUCGGGGAACAAAGGCGUCCACGGGUGGGCGGAUGAGUGUACCCGAAGAAAAAGCAUCGGCUAACUCCGUGCCAGCAGCCGCGGUACUACGGAGGAUGCGAGCGUUAUCCGGAUUUAUUGGGUUUAAAGGGUUCGUAGGCGGACAGUCAAGUCAGCGGUAAAAAUGCGGUGCUCAACGCCGUACAGCCGUUGAAACUGGCAGUCUUGAGUGGGCGAGAAGUAUGCGGAAUGCGUGGUGUAGCGGUGAAAUGCUUAGAUAUCAUGAAGAACUCCGAUCGCGAAGGCAAGUGUCCGGGGUGCAACUGACGCUGGGGCUCGAAAGUGCGGGUAUCAAACAGGAUUAGAUACCCGGGUAGUC